Molecule: small RNA, 132 nt
Filed under: Klebsiella pneumoniae
Lineage: Bacteria; Pseudomonadati; Pseudomonadota; Gammaproteobacteria; Enterobacterales; Enterobacteriaceae
Description: RtT sRNA
Rfam family: RtT RNA
About the family: This family represents a bacterial cis-regulatory element known as RtT RNA. The exact function of RtT is unknown although it is thought that it may be involved in changing the cellular response in relation to amino acid starvation.
Source: RNAcentral
UAUUCUGCCCCAUGGGGAAGGAUGAGAAGCUUCGACCAAGGUUCGACUCGAGCGAAGCGAGAGAACGUUGCCGCAGGCAACGGCCCGAAGGGCGAGGCGCUUUAGCGCCGAGUAAUCCUUCCCCCACCACCA